RNAcentral lists this ribosomal RNA (254 nucleotides) under uncultured bacterium. RNAcentral's name for it is "partial 16S ribosomal RNA". It matches the Rfam family "Bacterial small subunit ribosomal RNA", at positions 524 to 776 of the family's 1533-position model. The record is from RNAcentral.
UACGGGGGGAGCAAGCGUUGUUCGGAUUUACUGGGCGUAAAGGGCGCGUAGGCGGUCAGCACAAGUCAGUUGUGAAAUCUCCGGGCUUAACUCGGAAAGGUCAACUGAUACUGUGCGACUAGAGUGCAGAAGGGGCAACUGGAAUUCUCGGUGUAGCGGUGAAAUGCGCAGAUAUCAGGAGGAACACCGGUGGCGAAGGCGGCUUGCUGGGCCUUACCUGACGCUGAGGAGCGAAAGCGUGGGGAGCGAACAGG